Anneissia japonica is the source of this 401-nucleotide long non-coding RNA. RefSeq lists it as uncharacterized. Lineage: Eukaryota; Metazoa; Echinodermata; Crinoidea; Comatulida; Comatulidae. The transcript has 2 exons. The record is from RefSeq and is a predicted model, not a curated record.
UAGAGUCUUACACCUGAUGACAUUGCUAACUCGUUGGUUCAUGCUCUUCAUGCCCCUCCCCACUGCCAGAUCCAUGAUAUACUUAUGCGUCCAAUUGAAGACGUAGUCUAAGAAUGCUACCUGAAUUUACUGCUUUUAGCAAUAUAUUUUUCUCUAGGGGAAACUACGUUCAUUGAAAUUUUUAUUUAAAAAAUGUGAACUUCUAUUUAAAGUAAAUUAAUGCUUUGGUAAGCUGAUGGUGAGGUUUUUUUUUAUCCUGUCAUCAUGCUUACUUGCUUAGAUAUAAGUUUGAAUUUACAGAUGGUAUUUUUCAACCACAUGUGUUCUGAGCAGAUUUGUUGAUCCUGUUCAUACUGUGUGUAAUAUACAUCAUUUUUGUAAUAAAAUACAUUUUGUAGACA